GACGAACGCUGGCGGCGUGCUUAACACAUGCAAGUCGAACGGAAAGGCCCUGCUUUUGUGGGGUGCUCGAGUGGCGAACGGGUGAGUAACACGUGAGUAACCUGCCCUUGACUUUGGGAUAACUUCAGGAAACUGGGGCUAAUACCGGAUAGGAGCUCCUGCUGCAUGGUGGGGGUUGGAAAGUUUCGGCGGUUGGGGAUGUACUCGCGGGUUAUCAGCUUGUUGGUGGGGUAGUGGCUUACCAGGGCUUUGACGGGUAGCCGGCCUGAGAGGGUGACCGGCCACAUUGGGACUGAGAUACGGCCCAGACUCCUACGGGAGGCAGCAGUGGGGAAUAUUGCACAAUGGGCGGAAGCCUGAUGCAGCAACGCCGUGUGCGGGAUGACGGCCUUCGGGUUGUAAACCGCUUUCGCCUGUGACGAAGCGUGAGUGACGGUAAUGGGUAAAGAAGCACCGGCUAACUACGUG
Molecule: ribosomal RNA, 468 nt
Filed under: uncultured bacterium
Lineage: Bacteria
Description: partial 16S ribosomal RNA
Rfam family: Bacterial small subunit ribosomal RNA
Source: RNAcentral